UACGUAGGGCGCAAGCAUUAUCCGGAAUUAUUGGGCGUAAAGAGCUCGUAGGCGAUUUGUCGCGUCUGCCGUGAAAGUCCGGGGCUCGACUCCGGAUCUGCGGUGGGUACGGGCAGGCUAGAGUGAUGUAGGGGAGACUGGAAUUCCUGGUGUAGCGGUGAAAUGCGCAGAUAUCAGGAGGAACACCGAUGGCGAAGGCAGGUCUCUGGGCUGUUACUGACGCUGAGGAGCGAAAGCAUGGGGAGCGAACAGG
RNAcentral lists this unclassified non-coding RNA (253 nucleotides) under uncultured Micrococcaceae bacterium. RNAcentral describes it as "contains 16S-23S intergenic spacer region". It matches the Rfam family "Bacterial small subunit ribosomal RNA", at positions 524 to 776 of the family's 1533-position model. The record is from RNAcentral. Lineage: Bacteria; Bacillati; Actinomycetota; Actinomycetes; Micrococcales; Micrococcaceae.